This 66-nucleotide transfer RNA is filed under the name Modiolus metcalfei. RNAcentral describes it as "tRNA-Asn". It matches the Rfam family "tRNA". From Rfam's summary of the family: Transfer RNA (tRNA) molecules are approximately 80 nucleotides in length. Their secondary structure includes four short double-helical elements and three loops (D, anti-codon, and T loops). Further hydrogen bonds mediate the characteristic L-shaped molecular structure. tRNAs have two regions of fundamental functional importance: the anti-codon, which is responsible for specific mRNA codon recognition, and the 3' end, to which the tRNAs corresponding amino acid is attached (by aminoacyl-tRNA synthetases). tRNAs cope with the degeneracy of the genetic code in two manners: having more than one tRNA (with a specific anti-codon) for a particular amino acid; and 'wobble' base-pairing, i.e. permitting non-standard base-pairing at the 3rd anti-codon position. The record is from RNAcentral. RNAcentral also lists the same sequence under 2 other names. Lineage: Eukaryota; Metazoa; Mollusca; Bivalvia; Mytilida; Modiolidae.
AGCUAGAUAGUUUAAUUUAAAAAUGGUUGAUUGUUAAUUAACAGAUAAGAAAUGUCUUUCUGGUUG